AAUCAACGCUGGCGGCGUGCCUAACACAUGCAAGUCGAACGCGACUGAGGCUUCGGCCUCAGUUGAGUGGCGAACGGGUGAGUAACACGUGGGUGACCUACCUUCGAAUGGGGGAGUAACGUCCCGAAAGGGACGCUAAUACCGCAUAAGAUCCUGUCUUUGAACAGGCGGAGAUCAAAGCUGGGGAUCGCAAGACCUGGCGUUUGAAGAGGGGCCCGCGUCCGAUUAGCUAAUU
This 235-nucleotide ribosomal RNA is filed under the name uncultured bacterium. Its description in RNAcentral is "partial 16S ribosomal RNA". It matches the Rfam family "Bacterial small subunit ribosomal RNA", at positions 32 to 250 of the family's 1533-position model. The record is from RNAcentral.